This 924-nucleotide long non-coding RNA is filed under the name Aotus nancymaae (Ma's night monkey). RNAcentral describes it as "lncRNA (ENSANAG00000039302.1)". The record is from RNAcentral. Lineage: Eukaryota; Metazoa; Chordata; Mammalia; Primates; Aotidae.
AAUCUAUUCCCUAAUACUGUCCAUUCUUUGAUUCCAGUUUCUGCUUCAGCAUCGUAACUGGCAUACAAUGGGUUUGGAGCCAUCUGAGCAUUCUGCCCCUGAGUUCCCUUCAGAUAUUUGAAAAACGUGCUUGGAAUCCCUUGAGUAGCUUCUGUCAUUGCCGUCACUAUUUGAUCCUGACCUUGGAUUAUGAACCUUCCUUCCGAGGCCUAAGGUAUUUGGGAAUUCAAUGACGAACACUUCCCUGGGAAAGUAGCAGUUUAAAAGGAAAGUCAUCUGAACCUAAGCAGUGUAGUGGUGUCCAUCAGGAAACAUGGUCUUGAAUGGAAAGAACAAAACCAAACUAGAAUAAAGAAUCACCACCCAAGCAGGAGAGAAAUCAACAAGAGGGCACCUGGCUAGGCCUGGUAUGUGGCUGCUGCUCAGAAAAUUUAAAAAGAUUCCAGGAGAAGGGAGUAAAGAAGGAGCUCCCUGCUGCAGGCUCAAAGACUGUCAACCACCUGCAGAGGUCGCCACCCUGACUACCAGCCUCUGGCUGGCCCACCCGUUGGACACCACGACUCUCCACUCCCUCUUCUAUUACUCCGGGAUCCUAGAUAGUGCCAUGUGAUGUGUGCACUAAGAAGGAGUUGGGAGAGACAGCUCUUCUCUGUGGCUAGUUGCCAGCUGAUGUUUGAAGGAAGGAGAGAAGACAGAGCCUCUUUUCUGCAUCAGAAAAUACUGUGAACACAGAUGUGGGCUUUAGCAACCUGCAAGUGCAGCCUUCUUCUAACAAAAUGAACCCUAUAUGAAAUUCUGGAAAGUAAAAGAGGAAGUUAGAUGGGUGACCCAUUUGAGGUAGGUAUGAUAAUAGCAACUGUUUCUCUUUUGUCAAUUUGUCUUCUGCAUAGGAUAUAUGUGUAGCUGGAAUAAGCAAUGAAUAAA